GGACCCGCACAAGCGGUGGAUGAUGUGGUUUAAUUCGAUGCAACGCGAAAAACCUUACCCACCUUUGACAUGUAUGGAAGAUCGCAGAGACGCGAUUGUGCUCGAAAGAGAGCCAUAACACAGGUGCUGCAUGGCUGUCGUCAGCUCGUGUCGUGAGAUGUUGGGUUAAGUCCCGCAACGAGCGCAACCCUUGCCAUUAGUUGCUACAUUUAGUUGGGCACUCUAAUGGGACUGCCGGUGACAAACCGGAGGAAGGUGGGGAUGACGUCAAGUCCUCAUGGCCCUUAUAGGUGGGGCUACACACGUCAUACAAUGGCUGGUACAAAGGGUUGCCAACCCGCGAGGGGGAGCUAAUCCCAUAAAGCCAGUCGUAGUCCGGAUCGCAGUCUGCAACUCGACUGCGUGAAGUCGGAAUCGCUAGUAAUCGUGGAUCAGAAUGUCACGGUGAAUACGUUCCCGGGUCUU
RNAcentral lists this ribosomal RNA (465 nucleotides) under uncultured bacterium. RNAcentral's name for it is "bacterial SSU rRNA". It matches the Rfam family "Bacterial small subunit ribosomal RNA", at positions 917 to 1382 of the family's 1533-position model. The record is from RNAcentral.